GGGCGAUCAGUUUCUUCGUUUUGUCAGGAGGCUCAUUCGAAUAGUACGGCUCGGGGGUGGGUUUCUGCUGCGUUUGCCCUCUCCGCUGCAGGCUACAUGCUUCAGAACCAGGAAGUGCAUGCAGCUGAGUUGGAGCGCACAUUUAUUGCAAUAAAGCCUGAUGGAGUGCAAAGAGGAUUGAUUUCAGAGAUUGUAUCACGAUUUGAGAGGAAAGGUUUUAAGCUUGUGGCCGUUAAGCUUGUAGUUCCUUCGAAGGAGUUUGCUG
RNAcentral lists this unclassified non-coding RNA (265 nucleotides) under Hevea brasiliensis (rubber tree). Lineage: Eukaryota; Viridiplantae; Streptophyta; Magnoliopsida; Malpighiales; Euphorbiaceae. The record is from RNAcentral.